RNAcentral lists this ribosomal RNA (349 nucleotides) under uncultured bacterium. Its description in RNAcentral is "bacterial SSU rRNA". It matches the Rfam family "Bacterial small subunit ribosomal RNA", at positions 8 to 349 of the family's 1533-position model. The record is from RNAcentral.
AGAGUUUGAUCCUGGCUCAGGAUGAACGCUAGCUACAGGCUUAACACAUGCAAGUCGAGGGGAAACGACAUCGAAAGCUUGCUUUUGAUGGGCGUCGACCGGCGCACGGGUGAGUAACGCGUAUCCAACCUGCCCAUCACUUGGGGAUAACCUUGCGAAAGUAAGACUAAUACCCAAUGACGUCUCUAGAAGACAUCUGAAAGAGAUUAAAGAUUUAUCGGUGAUGGAUGGGGAUGCGUCUGAUUAGCUUGUUGGCGGGGUAACGGCCCACAAGGCGACGAUCAGUAGGGGUUCUGAGAGGAAGGUCCCCCANAUUGGAACUGAGACACGGUCCAAACUCUCGGGAGCA